CCGCGUGGGAGGAUGACGCCUUUCGGNGUGUAAACUCCUUUUAUAUGGGAAGAUAAUGACGGUACCNUAUGAAUAAGCUCCGGCUAACUCCGUGCCAGCCAGCCGCGGUAAUAAAUA
RNAcentral lists this ribosomal RNA (117 nucleotides) under uncultured bacterium. RNAcentral describes it as "partial 16S ribosomal RNA". It matches the Rfam family "Bacterial small subunit ribosomal RNA", at positions 397 to 529 of the family's 1533-position model. The record is from RNAcentral.